This is an RNA transcript of Mangifera indica (mango), 1292 nucleotides long. It is a transcript of the gene named coiled-coil domain-containing protein 9, with no coding region annotated. The record is from RefSeq and is a predicted model, not a curated record. NCBI's taxonomy places the organism in Eukaryota, Viridiplantae, Streptophyta, Magnoliopsida, Sapindales, Anacardiaceae. The transcript has 4 exons.
GUCUGAAGACUGGAAACAAUGCUUGUUCUUGAAGUUCGGAAAGGAUUUCCGGGAGGAAAUUAUUUUGUUUUACUUCUACAAGUAUCUGAAUUACUUUAUGUGGGCCCAAAGAAGACUUCAACCUCACCUAACGACCCAUUUGACAACGGGCUAGGUAAGUCAAACUAGGCCCGGCCCAUGAAUUAGAUGGAUAUGAUAAGCGCUCCUUUCUUGUUAGGUGACAACAGGCGGUUGAGGUUGAAGAACUGAUGGCGUCUUUCUGCUGCCUAUCCACAGUAUCAACAUCGAACACCCUAGCAAUUGCCCCUCCAUUGGCACCCUUCACGUCUUUCUCGCCAGAUUCAAUGAGACAAAGUUGCAGUUGCUCUCUAGUCUCUAUGCCGAUGUUCGGUUCUAAUCGCCUGAAUUUGAAUAAUCGGAAGAUGCAGAGACAGUUGGUACGUAUGGCACCUGAGGAGGAGAAAUUGACUCGCCGCAAUCCUCUCGAUUUCCCUAUCGAGUGGGAAAGGCCAAAACCUGGUCGCAGACCUGAUAUAUUUCCCCAAUUUAGCCCAAUGAAAACACCAUUGCCACCCCCAUUGCCAUGUGACCCUCCAGAAGAAGAUGAAGAAGAGGAAGAAAAGAAAGAGGAAGAGGAGGAAGAUCCUGAGCAGGAGGAAACUGAGAAGCCUGAUAAACAAGAGUAGUAUUCUUUUGAUGGCAGAGUCAGGUAUUGUAGAAAGUGGAUGACAGAAUCAGCCCAGUAAAAUUUUGUUGAAGUUUUAGCUAUAGCUCCUUGCAGCAAGACUUUGAAGGACGGGUAGGUCUGAAUGUUCGCUGAAUCGGCAGCUAAACAAAAUGCCCAUGCACAAGCGCAAACGGAACUCUCUUAUUUUAAAGACCAAAACUCCAUUUUCAACAUCUUUCUUGGUCUUCUUCUUCUUCUAAUUAACGCACCAGAGCCAUGUCUCUGGCGCCAUUGAUGCUCCGCUCACUGGUGAGACUUCUAACAUCCCUGGUAAGGGAGCCUGCCACCUCUAUUGCAACGUUACUCUACUACAGUGAACUUCUACCUCAGAAUAUUUUACUGGUGAGAAUGGUUCGACACGAGUUACUCGAUCAAGAAAAUUAUCUUUUCCACUUUCUUGUCAAUUUUUUGAGAUGUUUCUGGUAGAUUCAGUUGAUUCAUCAUCUUUACAAAUCAUACAGCCCUUUUUCUUGCAUGGUGGAUCCAACAAUUUUGUGCAAUUGUAUUUGGUGAUUAUGUUGAGAAUUCUGAAAUAAAUAUAAUCAACACUAUAUUGAAAGCCAAA